GAGGAUGAGGAAGUGCAAAUGCCAGAGAAUGAUGACUCUCUCUGCGAUUCUGGCUCUAAGAAGGAAACCUCUUCUGAUGUGAAGUUGGAUAAUUCCCUAUCCUCAAGUGCAAAGACCCCUUCAUCAGGGAAACCCAAGACACCCUCCCAGUUGGAGUUGGAAUCAGAAACUUCAGCAAAAUCAAAUCCAAAGGGGAGGAAACCUUCCAUUGAAAAGAAAAAUGAAAAUAAUUCUAGGAAGGCUGUUGUGGGAGGUAUAUCAAGGAGUAAGAAGAGUUCACCUGCUUCGGGGUCAAAAUUGAAGAAUGGAACUGAGGAUUCAUCUGAUUCAGGUUUAGACAAUCCUGAC
This 348-nucleotide long non-coding RNA is filed under the name Nicotiana tabacum (common tobacco). RNAcentral's name for it is "long non-coding RNA (NTAB_LNC015543)". Lineage: Eukaryota; Viridiplantae; Streptophyta; Magnoliopsida; Solanales; Solanaceae. The record is from RNAcentral.